GACGAACCGUGCGAACGUUGUUCGGAAUCACUGGGCUUAAAGGGAGCGUAGGCGGGCUAUCAAGUCUGGGGUGAAAUGCCACGGCUCAACCGUGGAACUGCCUCAGAUACUGACGGCCUCGAGGGAGAUAGGGGCAUGCGGAACUGUAGGUGGAGCGGUGAAAUGCGUUGAUAUCUACAGGAACUCCGGUGGCGAAAGCGGCGUGCUGGAUCUCUUCUGACGCUGAGGCUCGAAAGCUAGGGGAGCAAACGGG
This 253-nucleotide ribosomal RNA is filed under the name uncultured bacterium. RNAcentral's name for it is "partial 16S ribosomal RNA". It matches the Rfam family "Bacterial small subunit ribosomal RNA", at positions 524 to 776 of the family's 1533-position model. The record is from RNAcentral.